UGGGGAAUAUUGGACAAUGGGGGGAACCCUGAUCCAGCCAUGCCGCGUGUGUGAAGAAGGUCUUCGGAUUGUAAAGCACUUUAAGUUGGGAGGAAGGGCAGUAAGCGAAUACCUUGCUGUUUUGACGUUACCGACAGAAUAAGCACCGGCUAACUCUGUGCCAGCAGCCGCGGUAAUACAGAGGGUGCAAGCGUUAAUCGGAAUUACUGGGCGUAAAGCGCGCGUAGGUGGUUCGUUAAGUUGAAUGUGAAAGCCCCGGGCUCAACCUGGGAACUGCAUCCAAAACUGGCGAGCUAGAGUAGGGCAGAGGGUGGUGGAAUGUCCUGUGUAGCGGUGAAAUGCGUAGAUAUAGGAAGGAACACCAGUGGCGAAGGCGGCCACCUGGGCUCAUACUGACACUGAGGUGCGAAAGCGUGGGGAGCAAACAGG
Molecule: ribosomal RNA, 429 nt
Filed under: Pseudomonadota bacterium
Lineage: Bacteria; Pseudomonadati; Pseudomonadota
Description: Proteobacteria bacterium partial 16S ribosomal RNA
Rfam family: Bacterial small subunit ribosomal RNA
Source: RNAcentral